AAUAAUUAUUUGCUCAGUUCACAUAAUUAUUUAUCUGUCACUGGGUGUAUGAUUAUUGU
Molecule: microRNA precursor, 59 nt
Filed under: Heliconius melpomene (postman butterfly)
Lineage: Eukaryota; Metazoa; Arthropoda; Insecta; Lepidoptera; Nymphalidae
Description: Hme-Mir-3-P27_pre stem-loop
Source: RNAcentral